Molecule: ribosomal RNA, 309 nt
Filed under: uncultured Bacteroidota bacterium
Lineage: Bacteria; Pseudomonadati; Bacteroidota
Description: bacterial SSU rRNA
Rfam family: Bacterial small subunit ribosomal RNA
Source: RNAcentral
GAUGAACGCUAGCGGCAGGCUUAAUACAUGCAAGUCGAACGGGAUUCGGGGUAGCAAUACUUUGAUGAGAGUGGCGCACGGGUGCGUAACGCGUAUGCAACCUACCUUUAACAGGGGAAUAGCCCCGAGAAAUCGGGAUUAAUACUCCGUAACAUUGCGGUGUGGCAUCACACUGCACUUAAAGCUGAGGCGGUUAAAGAUGGGCAUGCGUGACAUUAGCUAGUUGGUGAGGUAACGGCUCACCAAGGCAACGAUGUCUAGGGGUCCUGAGAGGGUUAUCCCCCACACUGGUACUGAGACACGGACCAG